RNAcentral lists this unclassified non-coding RNA (397 nucleotides) under uncultured Glomus. RNAcentral's name for it is "SSU rRNA". It matches the Rfam family "Eukaryotic small subunit ribosomal RNA", at positions 569 to 967 of the family's 1831-position model. The record is from RNAcentral. Lineage: Eukaryota; Fungi; Glomeromycota; Glomeromycetes; Glomerales; Glomeraceae.
AGCAGCCGCGGUAAUUCCAGCUCCAAUAGCGUAUAUUAAAGUUGUUGCAGUUAAAAAGCUCGUAGUUGAAUUUUGGGUCUGGCCGGGCGGUCCGCCCUCUGGGUGAGCACUGUUCCGACGCCGGGCCUAUCCUUCUGGUGAGUCGGCAUGUCCUUUAUUGGGUGUGUCGGGGAACCAGGACCAUUACCUUGAAAAAAUUAGAGUGUUCAAAGCAGGCGUAUGCUCGAAUACAUUAGCAUGGAAUAAUGAAAUAGGACGCGUGGUGCUAUUUUGUUGGUUUCUAGAACCGCCGUAAUGAUUAAUAGGGAUAGUUGGGGGCAUUAGUAUUCAAUUGUCAGAGGUGAAAUUCUUGGAUUUAUUGAAGACUAACUUCUGCGAAAGCAUUUGCCAAGGAUGU